GAGGCCACAGGCGACGACGGGUAGCCGGCCUGAGAGGGUGACCGGCCACACUGGGACUGAGACACGGCCCAGACUCCUACGGGAGGCAGCAGUGGGGAAUAUUGCACAAUGGGCGAAAGCCUGAUGCAGCGACGCCGCGUGAGGGAUGACGGCCUUCGGGUUGUAAACCUCUUUCAGCAGGGACGAAGCGAAAGUGACGGUACCUGCAGAAGAAGCACCGGCUAACUACGUGCC
This 234-nucleotide ribosomal RNA is filed under the name uncultured bacterium. RNAcentral's name for it is "partial 16S ribosomal RNA". It matches the Rfam family "Bacterial small subunit ribosomal RNA", at positions 263 to 509 of the family's 1533-position model. The record is from RNAcentral.